RNAcentral lists this ribosomal RNA (440 nucleotides) under uncultured bacterium. Its description in RNAcentral is "partial 16S ribosomal RNA". It matches the Rfam family "Bacterial small subunit ribosomal RNA", at positions 338 to 795 of the family's 1533-position model. The record is from RNAcentral.
CCUACGGGGGGCAGCAGUAGGGAAUAUUGCUCAAUGGGGGAAACCCUGAAGCAGCAACGCCGCGUGGAGGAUGAAGGUUCUCGGAUUGGAAACCCCUUUUGUUAGAGAAGCUAAUGACGGUAUGUAACGAAUAAGCACCGGCUAACUCCGUGCCAGACGCCGCGGUAAUACGGAGGGUGCAAGCGUUACUCGGAACCACGGGGCGUAAAGAGCGCGUAGGCGGGAUAGCAAGUCAGAUGUGAAAUCCUAUGGCUUAACCAUAGAACUGCAUUUGAAACUGGUAUUCUAGAGUAUGGGAGAGGUAGGUGGAAUUCUUGGUGUAGGGGUAAAAUCCGUAGAGAUCAAGAAGAAUACUCAUUGCGAAGGCGACCUGCUAGAACAUAACUGACGCUGAUGCGCGAAAGCGUGGGGAGCAAACAGGAUUAGAUACCCUGGUAGUC